CCAAGCGAAAGUGAUAAGUGUCCCACCUGGGGAGUACGUCGGCAACGAUGAAACUCAAAGGAAUUGACGGGGGCCCGCACAAGCGGUGGAGCAUGUGGUCUAAUUCGAUGAUACGCGAGGAACCUUACCAGGGCUUAAAUGUAGUGGGACAGGCUUAGAGAUAGGCUUUUCUUCGGACUCAUUACAAGGUGCUGCAUGGUUGUCGUCAGCUCGUGCUGUGAGGUGUCAGGUUAAGUCCUAUAACGAGCGCAACCCCUACCGUUAGUUGCCAGCGAGUAAAGUCGGGGACUCUAACGGAACUGCCGGUGCAAACCGUGAGGAAGGUGGGGAUGACGUCAAAUCAU
RNAcentral lists this ribosomal RNA (344 nucleotides) under uncultured bacterium. RNAcentral describes it as "bacterial SSU rRNA". It matches the Rfam family "Bacterial small subunit ribosomal RNA", at positions 847 to 1193 of the family's 1533-position model. The record is from RNAcentral.